AGAACGAACGCUGGCGGCGUGCUUAACACAUGCAAGUCGAGCGCGAACGUCACCUUCGGGUGGCUAGUAGAGCGGCGCACGGGUGAGUAACACGUGGGUAAUCUGCCCUUUAGACUGGAACAACCCGGGGAAACCCGGGCUAAUGCCGGAUAUGACAGCACACUGUAGGGUGUGUUGGGAAAGCGGGGGACUUCUUCGAGGCCUCGCACUAGAGGAUGAGCCCGCGGCCCAUCAGGUAGUUGGUAGGGUAAUGGCCUACCAAGCCGAAGACGGGUAGCUGGUCUGAGAGGAUGAUCAGCCACACUGGAACUGAGACACGGUCCAGACUCCUACGGGAGGCAGCAGUGGGGAAUAUUGGACAAUGGGCGAAAGCCUGAUCCAGCAACGCCGCGUGAGUGAUGAAGGUCCUCGGAUCGUAAAGCUCUGUCGGUAGGAACGAUGGGUGUUUUGGUUAAUAACCAACGCACUUGACGGUACCUGCAAAGGAAGCACCGGCUAACUCUGUGCCAGCAGCCGCGGUAAGACAGAGGGUGCAAGCGUUGUUCGGAAUUACUGGGCGUAAAGCGCGCGUAGGCGGCUAAGCAAGUCGGAUGUGAAAGCCCAGGGCUCAACCCUGGAAGUGCACCCGAAACUGCUUAGCUUGAGUCCCGGAGAGGGUGGUGGAAUUCCCAGUGUAGAGGUGAAAUUCGUAGAUAUUGGGAGGAACACCGGUGGCGAAGGCGACCACCUGGACGGUGACUGACGCUGAGGUGCGAAAGCGUGGGGAUCAAACAGGAUUAGAUACCCUGGUAGUCCACGCCGUAAACGAUGGAUACUAGGCGCUGCGGGUAUUGACCCCUGCAUUGCCGAAGCUAACGCAUUAAGUAUCCCGCCUGGGGAGUACGGCCGCAAGGCUA
RNAcentral lists this ribosomal RNA (896 nucleotides) under uncultured bacterium. Its description in RNAcentral is "bacterial SSU rRNA". It matches the Rfam family "Bacterial small subunit ribosomal RNA", at positions 26 to 896 of the family's 1533-position model. The record is from RNAcentral.